This is a long non-coding RNA of Zophobas morio, 185 nucleotides long. RefSeq lists it as uncharacterized. Lineage: Eukaryota; Metazoa; Arthropoda; Insecta; Coleoptera; Tenebrionidae. The record is from RefSeq and is a predicted model, not a curated record. The transcript is spliced from 3 exons.
UAUUCCACCAAUCCCGUUCUGCUAGAGGCCGCUUUGAAUAUAACGAGAAAUGUAAUAAAAUGUUUGCCGCCGCUUUCUUCUACUGAAAAUUUUGAGAAGACGCCUCAUUUCUGUGUGCUUUGGCUUCUUCAAAGGUACCUUGAGUUAUAUUGCGCCGGAACUUUAGAGAAAAGCACCAAAAUAGC